AGAGGAUUUAGUACUGCUAUAAUGGACUGAUGCAGCAGGUGGCAGCAGUCCAACAAUAAGGAUGCCGGCUGCCAUUAAACGCCGUAGAAGAAGAGGGGUGAGUUUGAUUUUCUCAUAGGGACACCCGGUUUGAUAGGAGCGCGUUUCGUGUCGAAAUAAAGCCAUAAAAUAUAU
Molecule: long non-coding RNA, 174 nt
Organism: Thalassophryne amazonica
Lineage: Eukaryota; Metazoa; Chordata; Actinopteri; Batrachoidiformes; Batrachoididae
Exons: 2
Source: RefSeq, a predicted model, not a curated record